CCUACGGGAGGCAGCAGUAGGGAAUCUUUCACAAUGGGCGAAAGCCUGAUGGAGCAACGCCGCGUGCAGGAUGAAGGCCUUCGGGUUGUAAACUGCUUUUAUAAGCGAGAAAUAUGAUGGUAACUUAUGAAUAAGGAUCGGCUAACUACGUGCCAGCAGCCGCGGUCAUACGUAGGAUCCGAGCAUUAUCCGGAGUGACUGGGUGUAAAGAGUUGCGUAGGUGGCAUAAUAGGUAGCUAGUGAAAUCUGGUGGCUCAACCAUUCAGACUAUUAGCUAAACUGUUAAGCUCGAGACCGUUAGGGGUAACUGGAAUUUGUAGUGUAGGAGUGAAAGCCGUAGAUAUUAGAAGGAACACCAAGAGCGUAGGCAGGGUACUGGGACGGUUCUGACACUAAGGCACGAAAGCGGAGGGAGGAAAAGGGAUUAGAUACCCCUGUAGUC
This 442-nucleotide ribosomal RNA is filed under the name uncultured bacterium. Its description in RNAcentral is "partial 16S ribosomal RNA". It matches the Rfam family "Bacterial small subunit ribosomal RNA", at positions 338 to 795 of the family's 1533-position model. The record is from RNAcentral.